RNAcentral lists this ribosomal RNA (492 nucleotides) under uncultured bacterium. RNAcentral's name for it is "partial 16S ribosomal RNA". It matches the Rfam family "Bacterial small subunit ribosomal RNA", at positions 28 to 507 of the family's 1533-position model. The record is from RNAcentral.
GAUGAACGCUGGCGGCGUGCCUAAUACAUGCAAGUCGAGCGACCAGACGAGAAGAUUGUUCCCUUGCCGUUAGCGGGGGACGGGCGAGUAACACGUGGAUCGCAUUCUUCUAUGUCUGGGGUGAUAACGGAGAGAAGCUGACACUAAUAGAGAAUAUGAUGUACGGCUUGAAUCAACAGUGCUUGGCGGCUUUCCCGUUUCUAUUAGCCGACGCCGCAUUAGCUAGUUGGCUGGGUAACGGCCCACCAAGGCAACGAUGCGUAGCCGGGCUGAGAGGAUGAUCGGCCACACUGGAACUGAGACACGGUCCAGACUCCUACGGGAGGCAGCAGUGGGGAAUCUUCGACAAUGGGCGAAAGCCUGAUGCAGCAACACCGCGUGAGUGAAGAAGGUCUUCGGGUCGUAAAGCUCUGUUAUUGGGAAAGAACAAAAGUAUAAGUAUCCAUGCACGUCCUGACGGUACCUAAACAGAAAGCCACGGCUAACUUCGUG